ACCCUGAUGCAGCGAUGCCGCGUGAGUGAGAAAGGCCUUUGGGUGUAAAAGCUCUUUCGUCGGGGAAGAAAAUGACUGUACCCGAAUAAGAAGGUCCGGCUAACUUCGUGCCAGCAGCCGCGGUAAUACGAAGGGACCUAGCGUAGUUCGGAAUUACUGGGCUUAAAGAGUUCGUAGGUGGUUAAAAAAGUUGGUGGUGAAAUCCCAGAGCUUAACUCUGGAACUGCCAUCAAAACUUUUUAGCUAGAGUAUGAUAGAGGAAAGCAGAAUUUCUAGUGUAGAGGUGAAAUUCGUAGAUAUUAGAAAGAAUACCAAUUGCGAAGGCAGCUUUCUGGAUCAUUACUGACACUGAGGAACGAAAGCAUGGGUAGCGAAGAGGAUUAGAUACCCUCGUAGUCCAUGCCGUAAACGAUGUGUGUUAGACGUUGGAAAUUUAUUUUCUGUGUCGCAGCGAAAGCAAUAAACACACCGCCUGGGGAGUACGACCGCAAGGUUAAAACUCAAAUGAAUUGACGGGGACCCGCACAAGUAGUGGAGCAUGUGGUUUAAUUCGAAGAUACGCGCAGAACCUUACCAACACUUGACAUGUUCGUCGCGACUUUAAGAGAUUAAAGUUUUCGGUUCGGCCGGACGAAACACAGGUGCUGCAUGGCUGUCGUCAGCUCGUGUCGUGAGAUGUUGGGUUAAGUCCCGCAACGAGCGCAACCCUCACUUUUAGUUGCCAUCAUUUAGUUGGGCACUCUGAAAGAACUGCCAGUGAUAAGCUGGAGGAAGGUGGGGAUGACGUCAAGUCCUCAUGGCCCUUACGUGUUGGGCUACACACGUGCUACAAUGGCAUUUACAAUAGGAAGCAAGACGGCGACGUUAAGCAAAUCCUAAAAAAAUGCCUCAGUUCGGAUUGUACUCUGCAACUCGAGUACAUGAAGCUGGAAUUACUAGUAAUCGCGGAUCAGCGCGC
Molecule: ribosomal RNA, 958 nt
Filed under: marine metagenome
Description: bacterial SSU rRNA
Rfam family: Bacterial small subunit ribosomal RNA
Source: RNAcentral